UGAACGCUGGCGGCAGGCCUAACACAUGCAAGUCGAACGGUAACAGGAAGCAGCUUGCUGCUUCGCUGACGAGUGGCGGACGGGUGAGUAAUGUCUGGGAAACUGCCCGAUGGAGGGGGAUAACUACUGGAAACGGUAGCUAAUACCGCAUAAUGUCGCAAGACCAAAGAGGGGGACCUUCGGGCCUCUUGCCAUCGGAUGUGCCCAGAUGGGAUUAGCUUGUUGGUGAGGUAACGGCUCACCAAGGCGACGAUCCCUAGCUGGUCUGAGAGGAUGACCAGCCACACUGGAACUGAGACACGGUCCAGACUCCUACGGGAGGCAGCAGUGGGGAAUAUUGCACAAUGGGCGCAAGCCUGAUGCAGCCAUGCCGCGUGUAUGAAGAAGGCCUUCGGGUUGUAAAGUACUUUCAGCGGGGAGGAAGGUGUUGUGGUUAAUAACCGCAGCAAUUGACGUUACCCGCAGAAGAAGCACCGGCUAACUCCGUGCCAGCCGCAGC
This 499-nucleotide ribosomal RNA is filed under the name uncultured bacterium. RNAcentral's name for it is "bacterial SSU rRNA". It matches the Rfam family "Bacterial small subunit ribosomal RNA", at positions 30 to 518 of the family's 1533-position model. The record is from RNAcentral.